ACUCAAACUGGGGGGGCACUUUCUGUGCUGAGAGCAAAGCGCCGCCACUGUUUGAGU
This 57-nucleotide microRNA precursor is filed under the name Myotis lucifugus (little brown bat). RNAcentral describes it as "miRNA (ENSMLUG00000021286.1)". Lineage: Eukaryota; Metazoa; Chordata; Mammalia; Chiroptera; Vespertilionidae. The record is from RNAcentral.